GACGAACGCUGGCGGCGUGCUUAACACAUGCAAGUCGAACGGAAAGGCCCUGCUUUUGUGGGGUGCUCGAGUGGCGAACGGGUGAGUAACACGUGAGUAACCUGCCCUUGACUUUGGGAUAACUUCAGGAAACUGGGGCUAAUACCGGAUAGGAGCUCCUGCUGCAUGGUGGGGGUUGGAAAGUUUCGGCGGUUGGGGAUGGACUCGCGGCUUAUCAGCUUGUUGGUGGGGUAGUGGCUUACCAAGGCUUUGACGGGUAGCCGGCCUGAGAGGGUGACCGGCCACAUUGGGACUGAGAUACGGCCCAGCCUCCUAUGGGAGGCAGCAGUGGGGAAGAUUGCACAAUGGGCGGAAGCCUGAUGCAGCAACGCCGCGUGGGGGAUGACGGCCUUCGGGUUGUAUACCGCUUUCGCCUGUGACGAAGCGUGAGUGACGGUAAUGGGUAAAGAAGCACCGGCUAACUACGUG
RNAcentral lists this ribosomal RNA (468 nucleotides) under uncultured bacterium. Its description in RNAcentral is "partial 16S ribosomal RNA". It matches the Rfam family "Bacterial small subunit ribosomal RNA", at positions 28 to 507 of the family's 1533-position model. The record is from RNAcentral.